Quercus lobata is the source of this 1332-nucleotide RNA transcript. It is a transcript of the gene named mediator of RNA polymerase II transcription subunit 34-like, with no coding region annotated. The record is from RefSeq and is a predicted model, not a curated record. The transcript is spliced from 5 exons. Lineage: Eukaryota; Viridiplantae; Streptophyta; Magnoliopsida; Fagales; Fagaceae.
AGAUGUUGAAACCCUUCCUUGAGAUACACGUGGAAAAAAAGGAAAAGAAAAAGGAACAACGUUAAGUACACAGACAAGUGGAGAGGGAGUGGCAGAUUUGGUGUUUUCUCUCUUACCCUACUCCUCAUUUUCUCUCCUAAAAUCACCCCAAAUUGGGGAGAUAAGAUUUUGGUGGGUCUGGAGAGAAAAUACCUAAGCCUAGCCAAAAUCUCUCCAAUUUUCCACCCCAACCAAACAACCCAAAAAACCCUUUUCUCUCCCCCAUUUUCUAUCCUCCCUGUUUUCACCCCAACCAAAUGGACCCUAAGUCUAUCCAAGAGUCUUUAUCAUCUAUUCCAGGCUGGAGGAAAACAUUCCAUUAGAAUGAUACAUGGGACAUAGUUCCUCUUCCAUCCAGAAAAAAAAAACUAUUGUUGGUUAUCACUGGAUGUAUACUGUGAAGAACUGCUGGACAGUUCUCUUGUGCAUUUGAAGGCUCAAUGUGUUCCUCCCAUUCUUGAGUUUUUGAAAUUUUAAUUUUAUUGCUUCCCUUUCUAUGUUGUUAAAUAUAUGUAUGUCUCACAAUUGAUGAUUAUAGGUUUCUAUAUUAAUAUGAGCAUUGUUUCUUUGCUGCAACUUAUGGUCAUGCACAACUUAUGGUUUCUUUGCUGCAAGAUAUGCAAGAGAGUGAUCAAAGAAUGACGAUGUUACAAUUGAAAGACAAAAUGAAAAUAAAGCACAAGGAACUAGAUCUGUGCAAGAGUCAGAUUUCCAGCUGGGUUGAAGUGUGGUUUGAAUUAUCUAAAAGGCAAAGGAUUAAAGAUCAUCAGUAAGGUUCUGAACUGAAGCGAGAGGAAACAGAACAACUUGUCAUAAAGCUUAUAUUAGAUCGUAUAUUGAAAGAAGAAUUUCAGCAUACAGCUUAUGCCACAAAUGCUUAUGUAACAUUGGGCCAUUUGCCAAGCAAGUCUUACGCGGAAAGAAAAAUGUGAAACACGACAUUUCUAGCGGAGAGAAGAAUACGGCUAGUCUGAAAUCAGCCAAAUGCAGUCUUGCAUCCUCUGUUUAGCUUGAUGGGCUACGGAAAGAAGUGUCUUUGAUCCUUGGAAAAAUAUCCCCUCAUUCUGUCCUGUCUACUUAACAAAUCAGUAUGAUAUUUAAAAAACUCUAUAUACUACUUUUGUGUUCGUGUAUUAUAAUAAGUAUUACUAUUUCUUCAAAAAAAAAAAAAUAGGAAUGUUUAUCCCACCUUGGCUGUGUGUGUUAGAGUUUAUUACAAAAAUUAGGCCCUUUUAUAGUGAUACUCUAGUUAUGUAAUAUAUUAUAAGCAGCCAAAUUCAUUAGCACAGGCAA